GCCCGGUUAGCUCAGUAGGUAGGGUACCAGACUCUUAAUCUGGCUGGCUUGGGUUCGAGCCCCGCAUCAGGAU
Non-coding RNA from Angiostrongylus cantonensis (rat lungworm), 73 nucleotides. NCBI's taxonomy places the organism in Eukaryota, Metazoa, Nematoda, Chromadorea, Rhabditida, Metastrongylidae. The record is from Rfam.